GACGAACGCUGGCGGCGUGCUUAACACAUGCAAGUCGAACGGUAAGGCCCUUCGGGGUACACGAGUGGCGAACGGGUGAGUAACACGUGGGUGAUCUGCCCUGCACUUCGGGAUAAGCCUGGGAAACUGGGUCUAAUACCGGAUAGGACCAUGGACUUCACGGUUUGUGGUGGAAAGCUUUUGCGGUGUGGGAUGGGCCCGCGGCCUAUCAGCUUGUUGGUGGGGUAAUGGCCUACCAAGGCGACGACGGGUAGCCGGCCUGAGAGGGUGUCCGGCCACACUGGGACUGAGAUACGGCCCAGACUCCUACGGGAGGCAGCAGUGGGGAUAUUGCACAAUGGGCGCAAGCCUGAUGCAGCGACGCCGCGUGAGGAUGAC
RNAcentral lists this ribosomal RNA (378 nucleotides) under uncultured bacterium. RNAcentral's name for it is "bacterial SSU rRNA". It matches the Rfam family "Bacterial small subunit ribosomal RNA", at positions 28 to 412 of the family's 1533-position model. The record is from RNAcentral.